AGGGAGCCCUAAUGUAACUAUGGACUUCGGGUGACUGGCCAAGAGUAAGCCCUAAUGUAACUAUGGACUUUGGGUGACUAUGACCCAAAUGUCAAUGUAGCUUCAUUAACAGUUAAUAAACAUUUCACUGUGGUGUGGGAUGGUGACUGUAGUGGGGGUGGCGGUGUGUGUGCAUGGGUAUGGGCUGGGGUAUAUGGGAACUCACUGUACUUUCUGUAAUUUUGCUGUGAACUUAAAACUGCCCUAAAAAUUGUCUAUUUUUAAAAAACAAUAAUUAUAAACUGGAAAAAUUCUCUUAGGAAAUCCUAAAAUAUGGAAGAUAAAAUAUGAAAUGUUUUCUCAGUAUUAAAUGUUUAUAACAACCACUUUCUAACCCUCAGAGAGCAACACAGCAAAUACUUAUUAACAGUGCCAUAAAGAAAUAAAAGCUAGUCAACCAAAACUUCCCAUUAAAUAGGAACUGUAAACUUUAUAUACAGAUAAAACAACCACAUUUUCACAAACUGAAACUUGAAAAAUUAAGUAAAUUGGUCAUUCACUAAAUUGGCUGCUUGGCAAACUAAUUUUCAAAGAAUUAGCAUGUUCUUGGUUGGAAAAGAAAAAGAAUAAGCAAAGUCAGAAAGUAACAAAAAAGAUCUCUAAAGCUGGGUGUUGCCCAAAAGCAGCCGAUGGAGCCAACCAGAGGCUGGAACAUUACAGACCCGCUUUCCCCACCACCCAAGCUGGUGUAUGCCAUGCUCCCACAGCAGAAGCUAAAAAAGUACACUUACUAUUUCUAUUAACGAAUAGACUAUCUCCUUCUAAACUGUAUAACAUUAUAUGAAAUUGGAAGCUAAAAUGUUUGUAGUAAUUGUUUCUACUAUGUUCUUCUUCUGCCUUCAUUGUUAAGUUUUAUGUUUCAUUAAUACCUUUUUAGAGUCAAAAAAUUUUCAAAAUUUCAAUUAAAAAAAUUUCUAAAUACCA
Molecule: long non-coding RNA, 963 nt
Organism: Homo sapiens (human)
Lineage: Eukaryota; Metazoa; Chordata; Mammalia; Primates; Hominidae
Source: Ensembl